RNAcentral lists this ribosomal RNA (426 nucleotides) under uncultured bacterium. Its description in RNAcentral is "bacterial SSU rRNA". It matches the Rfam family "Bacterial small subunit ribosomal RNA", at positions 356 to 773 of the family's 1533-position model. The record is from RNAcentral.
AGGGAAUCUUCCGCAAUGGACGAAAGUCUGACGGAGCAACGCCGCGUGAGUGAUGAAGGUUUUCGGAUCGUAAAACUCUGUUGUUAGGGAAGAACAAGUACCGUUCGAAUAGGGCGGUACCUUGACGGUACCUAACCAGAAAGCCACGGCUAACUACGUGCCAGCAGCCGCGGUAAUACGUAGGUGGCAAGCGUUGUCCGGAAUUAUUGGGCGUAAAGCGCGCGCAGGCGGUUUCUUAAGUCUGAUGUGAAAGCCCACGGCUCAACCGUGGAGGGUCAUUGGAAACUGGAAGACUUGAGUGCAGAAGAGGAGAGUGGAAUUCCACGUGUAGCGGUGAAAUGCGUAGAGAUGUGGAGGAACACCAGUGGCGAAGGCGACUCUCUGGUCUGUAACUGACGCUGAGGCGCGAAAGCGUGGGGAGCAAAC